GACGAACGCUGGCGGCGCGCUUAACACAUGCAAGUCGAACGGAAAGGCCUGCUUUCCCUUGUGGAUUGCGGGUACUCGAGUGGCGAACGGGUGAGUAACACGUGAGUGAUCUGCCCCAACUUGGGUAUAAGCCUGGGAAACUGGGUCUAAUUCCCGAUAGGACUGCAGGGUGGUGCCUGUGGUUGAAAACGGUUUUCUAGUGGUUGGGGGUGAGCUCGCGGCCUAUCAGCUUGUUGGUGGGGUAAUGGCCUACCAAGGCGGCGACGGGUAGCCGGCCUGAGAGGGUGGACGGCCACAUUGGGGCUGAGAUACGGCCCAGACUCCUACGGGAGGCAGCAGUGGGGAAUAUUGCACAAUGGGCGGAAGCCUGAUGCAGCGACGCCGCGUGGGGGAUGACGGCCUUCGGGUUGUAAACUCCUUUCGACCGCGAGGAAGCCACCUGGUUGGAAGGGUGGUGACGGUAGUGGUAGAAGAAGCACCGGCUAACUACGUG
RNAcentral lists this ribosomal RNA (493 nucleotides) under uncultured bacterium. Its description in RNAcentral is "partial 16S ribosomal RNA". It matches the Rfam family "Bacterial small subunit ribosomal RNA", at positions 28 to 507 of the family's 1533-position model. The record is from RNAcentral.